This 254-nucleotide ribosomal RNA is filed under the name uncultured bacterium. RNAcentral's name for it is "partial 16S ribosomal RNA". It matches the Rfam family "Bacterial small subunit ribosomal RNA", at positions 524 to 776 of the family's 1533-position model. The record is from RNAcentral.
UACGGAGGGUGCAAGCGUUAAUCGGAAUUACUGGGCGUAAAGCGCACGCAGGUGGCUGAGUCAGUCGAUUGUGAAAGCCCUGGGCUUAACCUGGGAAUUGCAGUCGAUACUACUCAGCUAGAGUAUGGGAGAGGGCAGUGGAAUUCCCGGUGUAGCGGUGAAAUGCGUAGAUAUCGGGGAGGAACAUCAGUGGCGAAGGCGGCUGCCUGGCCCAAUACUGACACUCAGGUGCGACAGCGUGGGGAGCAAACAGG